UACGUAGGGUGCGAGCGUUGUCCGGAAUUAUUGGGCGUAAAGAGCUCGUAGGCGGAUCUUUAAGUCAGAGGUGAAAUCCCAAGGCUCAACCUUGGAACUGCCUUUGAUACUGAGGAUCUUGAGUUCGGGAGAGGUGAGUGGAACUGCGAGUGUAGAGGUGAAAUUCGUAGAUAUUCGCAAGAACACCAGUGGCGAAGGCGGCUCACUGGCCCGAUACUGACGCUGAGGCACGAAAGCGUGGGGAGCAAACAGG
Molecule: ribosomal RNA, 253 nt
Filed under: uncultured bacterium
Lineage: Bacteria
Description: partial 16S ribosomal RNA
Rfam family: Bacterial small subunit ribosomal RNA
Source: RNAcentral